This is a long non-coding RNA of Mizuhopecten yessoensis (Yesso scallop), 5258 nucleotides long. RefSeq lists it as uncharacterized. Lineage: Eukaryota; Metazoa; Mollusca; Bivalvia; Pectinida; Pectinidae. The record is from RefSeq and is a predicted model, not a curated record. The transcript is spliced from 2 exons.
UAAAUGUAAGUUGACAAUACAUGUAAUUUGUAUGUCGACAGUAAAUGUAAGUUGACAAUACAUGUAAUUUGUAUGUUGACAGUAAAUGAUCACAGUUAGUUACAUGUAACAUAUAUAUGAAAAUACAUGUAAUUUGUAAGGUAAAUGAAGGGAAUAUUCACAGGAUGUACUUAUGUGGUUUACCAUGUCUAGUGAGUAUUUAACCACCAGAUAUUACUGUACAGAAACGAGACUUGUUUCAGACAUAACGUGAGUGCUCUGUUUAUGGAAAUUUGAAAGUUAAGCCAGUUUGAUCAAUUAUUUUUGCAACUUUGACCACCAGUAUUGAGAUUAUCAGCAAAAUGUAUUUAGAUAAUUUAUUGGGGGAAGGAUUAAGAACAACCCUUUAAAACAUUGUUCUGAAGUAAUUUGAACAAUUCAGUAAUUAAAAAGCAAACCUUUAAAUAUGUUUAUGGAUUCAAAGAUUCAAUAUUUCUGUAUACAUGCUUCUUAAUAUAGUAUCCCUUUAAAAAUUCUUUGUGCCAUCUGAAAAUAAGAAAAGGCGACAAGUCAGUGUUAAAGGUUUAUAGAUACUAUAUAUUUAUAUAGAUAUUUGCUGGUGAUAAACAAAUUAGAUUCUUUCUAUAUAAUAAUGCUUAUAUAGUACCUAUCACAUUUGCACAACCUCAUUUCAAACAUUUAGAUAAACUUACAGGUGUACUCGCUCACAGACUCUUUGUUUUGAGACCAUCAAUCAAGAUAAGGUGUCCGACACCUUCCAGCAGAACUUUGGUUGUUUAUAAUGUUUGGUGAUAUUGAUGUAAAAAACUCUAAAGUUAACACACUUUACUUUGUGAUUAAGAAUUUGAUAAUUUAUCACUAGACAGAUUUUUAUUGAUUUUCCACCUAGUAUGGUAAACAAACAGGUUACUUUCCAUCCGAAAUCAUUAGUCCUUACUCAGGUUUUUGUAAUUUACCUGGUAUCUACCCUAAACCAGGUGCUUCUGUUGGGCCCACGUCAAUAUAUGCCUUUCAGUACUUUUUUGAGCUAUCCCAUGUUGAUGAGAAUCAGAAUUUUUUUUUAGCUUAAGAUGAAAAUGCUGGCGGCUCUUGAUUUAGCUAUUGUUCUCUUUAGCAGUUUAAAUUUUAUUGAUCUAUAUGUGGGCCCGUCAUUUCACCAGAUUAAAGCUUUACAAAAUUUACCUGCUAUAUGAUAGCACAUUGGUGAGAAAAAAUUUGUAACAGGACUAUAAUCUACCCUUGUUGUUAUUUUUAUGUUGUUAUGGUAUUAUUGACCUUAUGAAUAUGCAUGACACAUAUAUAAUGUCAUAUAAAGCAAUAAAUUUGCUUCUUUUGAUGACAUUAUAGAUUUUAAACUGUAAAUACAUUUGUAGACUAAGUGUUUCUUGUAAAACAUUGUGAGUCGCCCCAUCAAAAUCUAGAUAGUUUCUGAAACAAUGACACAGUUGGUAUUAGGUACCAAGCAUUAGCUUUUCAAAGCCAUCGAAAAGUGUCAGUAAAUUCUAUCCAUCACAUGGGAAGACAUUAAGAUUGUGUCCAAAACUUGAAUUUUCAAGUUUCCCAUAACAGGUAAUAAAAAAGUUGUAUAAACUCAACAGGACAGGUGUAUUAAUAACCAGUCAGACUGUUGUUUUCAGUUAUAAUAAACGGGUUCUGUGAACAUCAGCUAGCAUUUAAAGUAGCAAUUUCCUGACUUUCAGAAUCUGUAUUAGCAAAGUUCAAUGUGGGGGAAUAAACAUGUGAUGAUAGUUUAACAGGCGUGCUAUUCCCAGUGUAUUAACAUGUUAAUGAUAUUGUGGAUGGAUCAUACAAAGGAUGUGUUUUGUGAUAGAUGAAUGGAGAGCAUGUCUGAAGUGAUAGAUGUAUGGAGAGCAUGUCUGAAGUGAUAGAUGUAUGGAGAGCAUGUGUGAAUGUAUAUAAUAGUUGUACAUAUGUAGUCAGCAGGAUUUAGUGUAAAUACAUGUGUGGUGAGAGUUAUAUAGAGCAUGUAGUAUUUAUUCACACAUUAUGUACCCCACACACCUUGUUUACGUACACAUGUAAGUAUUAAUUCUAUAUAAAUGUUUUCACUGGUGAAUGUUUAACCGAGGUCCUUUUUUCAUAGUGCCUCCACUAGAAUAUGGACCUGGAACUACAGACCACUAGUCCAGUUUCUCUACCAACUAAACUAAAGGAAAUGUCAGUAACAUAUAACUAGAUUUUCACCAUUGUGAUAAAUGUAUUUAUGCUUCCCUUGAAUUCAAUAAAAUCUUGAAUGGUUACACAGAUUGAGCGACAAGGCCAGUGGUAGAGCUAGGAUUAGGCAAUCAGCUUUAUGUAGAGAUAUAUAUAUAUAUGCAUCGUGAAGCUACUUUUUAGUAUUAUAUUUCCAUAUCUACUUAAGUUCAAGUCUGCUUUACUACCAAAUAGGUUUCAUUUUGCCCAUGAAAUUGAGUAGUUUUCCCUAACAACAUUGUGAGUAGGUCAACAAUGGUAAAUGUCGUCGUAGUUUAUGAUUCACACUGAUACUGUCUGAGAUUCUGCUGCUGAAUAUAUCUUAUGGCAACAUAAGGGUUGAAUAGUUGGUCUUGAAACAAAUUUACAUGAACAUUUCGUGUUAAUCAUCCCAUGGACAUGACUAAGCAGGAUUCAGUCUGAAGUACUGUAGUACCUGAUACAUAUGUUCUCUUUCAGGUUUUCACUCCAAUCACAACCGCAGUCAUCAAUGUUACUAUUACUAGUUUGAAUAAAAGCAUCAUAUAGUUUCCUGUGGUAGGUCUGUGUUAAGUCUGCUAUUGAAAUAAGCAAUGGUCACAUUUAUUGACAAGCAUUUAUUGCAUGGGUGUGAUUGUGUGUUUGUAGGCGAGUGUGUGCGUGUUUGUAGGCGAGUGUGUGUUUGGGUGUUUGAGUGUGUCCAUCAAUGAGAGUGUUUACGUCUGUUUGUAUAUAAUAAACAGCCCUACAUAAGAACAGUGGUAAUCAACUUAUUGGUUGAAUUUUUUUUAUCACUGCUUAUGAAUUUUCCUGUUAUGUAUUUAACAAAAAUGAAGAAACUUGCCUUUCAGCAGCUUUAGUUGUAUGACAAGAUGACCUAUGUAAGGCUUCAGUAAAGCUGAACUUUUGACCCGCCUUCCUUUACUAGUCCACCACAUUAUGGAUUGGUUCUCCACAAAAUGUAUACAUUUAUCAUUAUAUCUAUCUGUGAUUUAUAACAUAUAUUUAACAUUUUAGUGGAAUUGUGAUAUUUGUUCAUUUUCUAAAAAAAAACUACUAAAGAAUAUAAUUUCUUUGAUUUGACAGACACUGUUGGUUUUUUUCUUACUAACUUAACUUUCUUAAAAAUGAAAAUUUAAUGAUGUACAAACUAUGAACCAGCUUAAUACUUAAGUCACGACUCACAAAAUCAAUGUUUUGUUAUUUAAAAAUUGAACCAAAUUGAUUCCAUUUAUGAAGUGGCUAAUUCCUUGGAGAAUAUAUAUAUACAUCCAAUGGAGAAUAUAUAUAUACAUCCAACUGUUUUGAGAAUAUCUUUAGUCUGUCAGCAUUUUAUCAGCCAUUGGUGUUCGCUUUAUUGACGAGCUGCCAUGGUUUUUUUGUCUGUCAUUUUUGCUGUUAGCAUUAGUUUGUCCGCCUGGUGGUUAUAUUUCUGUGUUAGAUAUAUUUUUGUUGGACAGAAAUUUUGUGACAUGUAUACAAACGUGUAUGCUGUCGAAGUCCCUUCGUUAUUCACUUAGAGCAUUAUUUUUGUAUUGCAUGUAGAAUUUUUUGUGCAAGUUGUAGCUCAUCAGAUGGAGAUACGUAUGUAAUACUGUCAACAGCUAGGUGAUGUGUACAUGGCUUCAUACUAGCUAAUUACCAUAAUUACUCAUAAUGCGAACGAAAAGAACUUCUGCUGUACUUCAUUUUCCUGUGUGAGUAUAGGAACAUUACUAAGUAGAUUUCCUAGCUUGAAUGCUUUUCUAGUGUAUGUAGACUGUCAACAUACAUUUUGAAGUUUAAAUCUAAGUCUUGCUUGUUACUCACAGUGAUUAGGAUUCGUAAUUUGAUAAAAAAAAAUAGGUAUUAUUUAAGGAAUGAUUUUUAUUUUUUCAACAUUUAUGAGGUCAUAACAACAAUGGGUUUAUGGACAUAUUGAAUGAAUCGCGUUAGGUAUUAUUACACAAUAAUCCUAUACGAUCAUAUUAUUAAUUCUGCUGCCAUUUAAAAGCACAAAGAUCUGAUAUAGAUAACUAUUCAAUCUAUCCAAAAACAAAACUAAUAGUAACCACUUAUAUUUGUAUACCCCCUGCAACAAAGUUUGGAGGGAAGGGAGGUAUACUUGAACCCGGUUGUCUGUAAAUACAACUUGGUUCACACUACGGAGAUGUGAGAAAAGUAUCACUGAUAUCAGGCUUAGGCAUUUUAUGUGAAAUGAAAGAAAGCAAACACUUGGCCUUAUUUAUCGGUCAUUCAGGUUGUGACAACUAGCAACUAUUGGUGGUAACAUUUUAACUUUCUUGACAUGCAAUGAUUCUCUUAAAAGAAGAAAAACAUCAAUUGCAAAAGGAAUCAAAACAAAUUGUCAUAGUUUCUGUACAGAUAAAUCCCAUUACCGUCGAUGUGUUGGUGUGUAUACCACAGCGUUCAUCGCACAUUAGUAGUAGAAAUGUUCAUAACAGAUCCUUUAAAGGUUUUUAUAUGUUGUCUCUAAAAUACACCUGUAUUUUUUAAUUCAUUUAACUUUCACACUAUCCAGAACUCAAAACCAGAUUCACUUCAAAAUGUCAUAAAUUCUUUAUAUUUGUAAACGGAAGUUAAAGUAGGGUAAUUUCAGUGUAUUGUACAGUUUUGUUGUAACCAUGGUUGUCAUUUGCUAAAAACGACAAGUUUGCAGUCUCGGGUUGUAAAUGUUUCACACAAUAUUGAUGACAAUACAUUUGCUAUAAGUAUUAUAUAUUGACAGUAUGGCCAUGCAUGAUCUUAUAAUGUUGAUGGGGGCAUUUAGACCUAACAAAUAAAUAAUUAUCGAAUACUGAUGGCAGUAUUAAAUUGGUCCGAUUUAAAUGUCAGCAAAAACUGAAACAUCCCCUACCAGGAGAUGUAUACCAGCUCCCCAGUCAGGGUUGUCAUGGCGAUCAAAUCAGGUACCUCUCUAAGUGUGACAGGUGAGAGAGCAGGUGAAGCAUGGAUGUAGACUGAGAGUGACACACAGAAAUAUUCUGCAUUCACAAGUGGUGACAUGUGAAUACUAAUACGAAUGAAGGUGCUUUUAUAAAUAAAUGAAAACAAACAUAUCUUAA